This 130-nucleotide non-coding RNA is filed under the name Actinomycetota bacterium. The record is from RNAcentral. Lineage: Bacteria; Bacillati; Actinomycetota.
GAGGAACCCGGUGCGAAUCCGGGGCGGUCCCGCCACUGUCACCGGGGAGUGACCCCUCACCAGCAGGCCACGACCGCGCCAGCGGUGGGAAGGCCCGAGGGGAAGCGGCGAUCCGGGAGCCAGGAAACUC